This is a long non-coding RNA of Hemicordylus capensis (graceful crag lizard), 812 nucleotides long. RefSeq lists it as uncharacterized. NCBI's taxonomy places the organism in Eukaryota, Metazoa, Chordata, Lepidosauria, Squamata, Cordylidae. The record is from RefSeq and is a predicted model, not a curated record. The transcript is spliced from 6 exons.
UUGACAGAUUUGUAUACUUUCCCCUCCUUCUCUGUCCUCCCGUGUGAUCGGAUCCAGAGUAAAAUCCGGGAAUCCAGGCAGCGCAUUUGAAAUCUCUGUAAAUCCAGCUGGAAUUUAGCCGCUGCGUGGAGGAGCCAAAAUCCAGGGGCUAUCCUAAAUUCUGAGGGACAUGGCAAUCCUAAGCAGGUAUGAGAGCAGACUCUGUUGAAAGAAGAAAUAUCUUCCAGGGAUCUGUAUAAGGACCAGCAUUUUUGCAAAGAUUCCAGAAAGCUUUGCAUCCGGCUGCUUUUGGCUCUCGGAGAGUAUCCAUUUGGCAGUAUUCCAUCAUGUCUUGAAUCCGCACCCAGCAGGCCGAGAUGCAAGGAGAAUGGCAUGAGAUAAAUUAAGUUACGGCCGGCUACCUUAGAGAUGAAAAGCAGAAAAAGCAAAAGAUUUUUUUGAUAAAAAGAGAAGAUUAAGCUGGAGAGGGCAGGAAGAGGAGACGAGACCCCAACAAAGGCACAUUUAACCAGUAUCCCUUGCGAAAGGAAGGGGAGCCCGAAAGUGACAAAUACCACCGAUAAUCUCCCAUUCGCAAGCAGUUUCGUCGGGAGGCCUUAUACACAGGAGGAACACUGUACCAAUGUGUGAGUCAAGAUAAUCGGAUAAAGAUCUCUGUGUUAGCCUUUGAGCAGAGCGACAUUUGGGGCAUAUUUUGAUAAAGGAGAGUCGACUUGUGGCAUUUAGUUCCAGAGAGAUCCCAUUUCUCUUCUAGACAGGAGAGGAAUUCCAAUGAAAACCUAAAGGUCACCAGCUUGGGAGUUGGAAAGGGG